GGUGACAUAUUGCUUUUUCUCUGUUUCUUUUAUUAUGGCACCCUCAACGGAGUUGGGGUGACGUAUUGUUAUUCUACGUUUCUUUUUUUUCUUAUUAUUAUUUUUAUUAUUUUUCUUCCACACAUUUUGUCCAGGAGAUUUCUGGAAAUCCAUUGGACCAAAGUUGAUGGAACUCUAUUAUAUUAAGGACCCUUAGGUGAAGAGUUGCAGGCACCAUGGAAUGGUUCAAGAUGGCUGCCGUUUCCAUGGAAACUGCAAAAAUGUGAAAAAUUUUCAAAAUUCUUCAUUAUAAGACCCAAGUGGAUGAAACUUUGUGGAAGUGUUACCUGAUAUGCCUAGAUGUGCAUGCAAUAUCAAGAGGUUCCAAAAUGGCCGCCAUUGUCAUGGAAACAGGGCGAAAGUUUAACAUUGACCAUAUGGGAAAACACAUAAAAGCUACAUUUUCUUGAAGAAUAUAGCAUCAAUCCCAAUGAAACUUUAUAGAUAUGUAACAUGGCAUGUACCAAUGUGGCACCUGUCUUUGGAAUUUUGGAAAUGGUAACUGUUACCAUGGAAACAGCAAAAAUUUCAAAAAUUUCAAAAUGCUCCAAACGAGAUGAAAUUUUACAACAAUGUUAAUAAACAUGUGUAAAAGCGCUCUUUGACUUUGGAAUUUUCAAAAUGGCUGCCGCUCACCUGGCAAUGGGGGAAGGGUGCCAUCCGUUAUUGCUAGCAAUUACAAAUCUAGUUAUGUCACCC
RNAcentral lists this long non-coding RNA (738 nucleotides) under Mytilus galloprovincialis (Mediterranean mussel). Lineage: Eukaryota; Metazoa; Mollusca; Bivalvia; Mytilida; Mytilidae. The record is from RNAcentral.